GACGAACGCUGGCGGCGUGCUUAACACAUGCAAGUCGAACGGAAAGGCCCCUUUGUGGGUACUCGAGUCACGAACGGGCGAGUAACACGUAAGUAACCUGCCCUCGACUUCGGGUGAACUACAGGCUACUGAGGCCAAUACCUACUGGAUAUGAUUGCUGCCUGCAUGGGGUUUGUAAGCUUCGGCGGUUUUGGAUGGACUCGCGGGCUAUCUGCCUGUUGGUGGGGGAGUCGCUUACCAAGGCAUUGACGGGUAGGCAGCCCGGGGGGGGGACCGGCCAAAAUGGGACUUGGAUACGGCCCAGACUCCUACGGGAGGCAGGAGGGGGGAAAAUUGGAAAAUGGGGGGAAGGCUGAUGCAGCAACGCCGCGGGCGGGAUGACGGCCUUCGGGUUGGAAACCGCUUUCAGCAGGGGCGAAGCUUGUGGUGACGGUACCUGCAGAAGAAGCACCGGCUAACUACGUG
Molecule: ribosomal RNA, 465 nt
Filed under: uncultured bacterium
Lineage: Bacteria
Description: partial 16S ribosomal RNA
Rfam family: Bacterial small subunit ribosomal RNA
Source: RNAcentral